CUCUACGAUAGGCAGCACAAUAUGCCAAGAUUUCAUUUAGCUUUGUUCAGAGACCAAGUUGUAGCUGAAUAAAUAGAAAGAAUGACCAAAGGUAGACUAGAGAAAUGCAAACUCGGCUCGUUUUUACCACGAGGGUGGUAUAAGGAACCCAUCUGCUCCUAAGCUGGCUUGAGGCUGACAUUUCUUCAUUGCAGUGGAAUAUUUUACCCUGGAACAGUCUCAGAUUUUUCACCUGAUACACAUUCCAGAGAUCCCUGCACACCUAGAGGGUUUCCUGUCACCCUUCACCAAGAGGAUGUGAAAUGCUGGGAAGACAAAGGUGGAAGAAGAGGAAGAGAAGAGAGGCUGACUCCGUCCAUACCCGUCUCUGCCUUUCCCAGUGGCCUGGGACCCAGCCCAGCUCCUCUAUCCUCACCCGGGUGCCUGCAUGAGUGCUGUGGCUCCUUCCCCCCUCCUUUCUCCUUGGCCUUGGUGUCUAUUCCUUGCAGCACCAGGGGCGUCUCCUCAUGCUGCCCCGUUCCUGCGCCUCUGGGGAGCCUCAGGCCUCACUGCCUCUUUCCUGUGCCCACAGCACCUCCUGUUCCUGCCCAGCUCGACACACCCAGGCCUGAUGACUCCCAGCAUGAAUUCCCAUGUCUCCCACCCCACGGCCCAAAGUCCCGAGCUGGUGCUCAAAGCUUUCCAAGCAUUAGCUCUUUUCUGCCUCUCCAACCUCAUAAUUUGAGUUGCAGCUUCAGAGCAGCCACCCCCAGCCUGGGAGUGCUUCCUCCCCCGGCUCCAGCGUUGCUCAGGGUUAGGGUUAGGGUUAGGUCAGCCUCCGGGCCCCACUUCCCUCCAUCCAGACAGGCCCCACUCCUCACUCUAAUUCCCAAGUCCUGAGACCUCGCUGGCGUUCAUGUAUCACCUGCAUCUCUGGGCCUUGAACAUCCCAGACCAGGAUGGAGUCUCUCUCCUCACCAUUUGGGUGCCAUGUGGGGCUCCCUCAUUAAUGCUGCAUGCCUCUCUGGCUGGACUUCGUCCGUGAAGAUGUGAAUGUCUUAGGAAUGGUAAAGACCUGCCCUCCGCGUCUUUAUAAACUGGAUAGCCUGGUCCCAGCCAAUUUCAGCACUCAGCGCCAUGAGCAAGAGUCAAAAUAGUUAACAACAGCACAGUAAAACAAAUAUGUCAAUCAAUAUAGCCUUUAAAAAUUGUAAAAUAGAUCCCCUUUUU
Molecule: long non-coding RNA, 1209 nt
Filed under: Homo sapiens (human)
Lineage: Eukaryota; Metazoa; Chordata; Mammalia; Primates; Hominidae
Description: HSALNT0116869
Source: RNAcentral